GAACAGCUGUUUUAGGCUGAUGCAGACGCCCGCCUCGCACGCGGGAGGUCGGGGGUUCAAAUCCCCCCCGGUCCA
RNAcentral lists this transfer RNA (75 nucleotides) under Nitrososphaerales archaeon. RNAcentral's name for it is "tRNA-Ala". It matches the Rfam family "tRNA", at positions 13 to 71 of the family's 71-position model. From Rfam's summary of the family: Transfer RNA (tRNA) molecules are approximately 80 nucleotides in length. Their secondary structure includes four short double-helical elements and three loops (D, anti-codon, and T loops). The record is from RNAcentral. Lineage: Archaea; Thermoproteati; Nitrososphaerota; Nitrososphaeria; Nitrososphaerales.